This is a non-coding RNA of Mya arenaria, 72 nucleotides long. Lineage: Eukaryota; Metazoa; Mollusca; Bivalvia; Myida; Myidae. The record is from the annotation of a RefSeq genome assembly.
GUCUCCGUGGCUUAGUGGUUAAGCAUCCGCCUACGAAGCGGGAGGUCGUGGGUUCGAUCCCUGCCCGAGUCA